Molecule: long non-coding RNA, 381 nt
Filed under: Lathyrus oleraceus (garden pea)
Lineage: Eukaryota; Viridiplantae; Streptophyta; Magnoliopsida; Fabales; Fabaceae
Description: Pisum sativum (pea) long non-coding RNA (PSAT_LNC024215)
Source: RNAcentral
AUUUUAUUUUGUCAUUUAUCAAGCUUAACCAAAAAAUCAGCAUACUAUGGAAGCCUAUGUGCACCCCUCCCUUUCUACAAAAUCAGGAACAAAUUGUAGCCCAAGAAGCAAAGAACCAGCCUGACCCAAACACCAACUCCAAAGCAAUGGCGGGCGCCAUGAGUUCUGUAGAUUUAACGGGACAGAAUCCCUAAAUCUUCCAUUUUUACCUUCUUCAACCUCUCAAAACCCAUUUUCUCCUCCUUCCAACUCCAUCAAAGUCCACGAAAAAUCCGAACUUUAUCAUUCCAACUCAAAACCAUUAUCAUUCCUAAACUUCACCCAUAAAUUUCCUCCACCAAAAACCCACCUUCACUUCCUUACCAUAAAAACCCAUUUUUC